UGAGACUUUAUUACACCUUGGCCUA
This 25-nucleotide non-coding RNA is filed under the name Drosophila melanogaster (fruit fly). Lineage: Eukaryota; Metazoa; Arthropoda; Insecta; Diptera; Drosophilidae. The record is from RNAcentral.